CACAGAAGCCUUAAAUAUUGCGUGGUCCGCCUUCCAAGCUCUGAAUGCAAAUCGUGACAUCAACUGUUAAAUUCAUUCAUCUUGUCCCUCUCACUUGUUUUACUUGUACCCUUUCCAUCUCUUUCACUAAUUCUCAACCUCUUCUCUCUUUCCUAUAAAACUUUCUUUUCCCUUCGAGCCAUUUUCUUUUCAUUUCCAGCUCUUAAUCUUGAGGUUUGAGUAUAUAUAUGGUGAUGAAUAUGAUGAUGGGCUUCGGCAGAUUGGUGGUGAGCUUGAAAUCAAAACUAAGGUAUUUGAAGAUGAAGAAACCUGCUUAUUACGAUAAGAUUGAAAAGAGUGAGAGCAUGAGGGUUGAAAUAAGGAGCAGGAAAGCCCGGAAGCUUAUCGAAGAGACCAUGAAGAUUGCCGAUUCACCAAGGACGUCCAAGACUUAUGCGUUUUGAGUUGUUGACUAGUAGUUUUGUAUGAAAUGAAAUGAUCAAACGACUGUGAAGAGCAAAAAGUUUCUUUUCUUAGUUUAAUUUUGAUGUUAAACCAAGCAUUUUCAAUGGAGCUAGGAUGAUGAUGUUGAAAACCUUACCUUAUUAAUUUCUUGCUUGGCUUAUUGUUUUC
Theobroma cacao (cacao) is the source of this 612-nucleotide non-coding RNA. NCBI's taxonomy places the organism in Eukaryota, Viridiplantae, Streptophyta, Magnoliopsida, Malvales, Malvaceae. The record is from RefSeq and is a predicted model, not a curated record.